Molecule: transfer RNA, 72 nt
Filed under: Saccoglossus kowalevskii
Lineage: Eukaryota; Metazoa; Hemichordata; Enteropneusta; Harrimaniidae
Description: tRNA-Glu
Rfam family: tRNA
About the family: Transfer RNA (tRNA) molecules are approximately 80 nucleotides in length. Their secondary structure includes four short double-helical elements and three loops (D, anti-codon, and T loops). Further hydrogen bonds mediate the characteristic L-shaped molecular structure. tRNAs have two regions of fundamental functional importance: the anti-codon, which is responsible for specific mRNA codon recognition, and the 3' end, to which the tRNAs corresponding amino acid is attached (by aminoacyl-tRNA synthetases). tRNAs cope with the degeneracy of the genetic code in two manners: having more than one tRNA (with a specific anti-codon) for a particular amino acid; and 'wobble' base-pairing, i.e. permitting non-standard base-pairing at the 3rd anti-codon position.
Source: RNAcentral
UCCCAUAUGGUCUAGUGGUUUGGAUUUGGCGCUUUCACCGCCAAGGCCCGGGUUCAAUUCCUGGUGUGGGAA